UUAAAAUGAAAAGAAAAAACCAAUUGUUUUAUGGAAAAUCAUCAUUUCACAUUAUCUUAUGUCUCCCUGUGAUCAAUAGGCAAUCUGCAAUAUGAUAGAAAACUAUAGACGCAAUCUCGACUCAAGUAUUAAGCUGAAAAGGCCAAGGCUUAAGAACAACAAAAUUUCAACUUAUAAUAUUGAAGAAAAACAAUCAGAAAGAACAAUGCAAAGCAUUAAGCAUCCAUGUAAACAUGUUAAGUCUCCAUGCCCUCAAUGAAAGUUCUUCUAAUUCUACACACUUUCUGCACCUUUUUUCUUCUUUCUUUGCUUUCUGACAUCAAAACAAAGAAACAAUAACAAGAAUAAGAUCCUCUUGUAAGAUAGAAAGUUAUCAAUCAAAAGGAAGUACAUGUUGAACAUUUUAAAACAAAAGCACGAAGGGAAGUUAGAGCCAAAAUAUAAGAGGUGUUUAUAUUAAGGAAUUUGAUCUGACUAAGAAAAGUUAAGUGUACAUACAAACAAGCAAACAAUAAGAUCUUGGUACGAGCUCAGCCGCACAAACAAAAUUUGAGAUAGACGUGCCUAACAAUGAAUGCCCCUAGCCAUUUCCCCUAAGUAACAUAUACAGUUCAUUGUUUUAAUAUGGCAGUCGCUGCCUCCAGAACAAAAUUUUUUCUUUCAUCACUAACUCCUCCAACCUGUAAUACAGAUUACUACAUCUAACAGUCAUCAUCACAACUAAAGUAGUUCACUCUGGAGGGCUGCCAUCAUAAACCUUCAAUACAGGUUGUUAGCAGCUUGUGGUCGCAAUAGAGGAUUAUUAAAGAGCAGGAGAACCAAAGAAAAGUAUAGUUGGUCCACUUAUUUGACCAAGAACCAAAUGAUUUUUGGGCAACGAGAAAAAGUAAAGAAAAAUAGGAAAAUAUAAAUCAAAUCCCAGCCAAACCAGGAUGUUCAAAUUAGGUAACAAAGUAAUGCUGCACCAGAUCCAAAUUUUUCUAACAAGAACAAGAAUAUUUUGCCCUUGUUUGGUCUCCAUUAAACCAAAAAUACAUUUUUUCAAAAACUCAUUUUCAACCAUAUGUUCUUUCAAUAAAAUAAUAUUACGUGCAAACAUAAAACUUUUCCUUACAUUUAAACCGGACAUUUUCCAAAAAAAUUGCUAUUCUAAAAUACAUUUUUACCAAAAUCUCAUUAAAAUGGAGCCCAAACAAGUGCUUUAUUUGACACAAAAGUGUUAAAAACUACCUUUCUUCCUCUAGACAGUUCAGGAUUACAUGAAUGAUUCAAGACUAAGUGAUGCAAUAUUAUAGAGAUUAAUUAUUUAUUUAGUUUCCGAUUUUAAUUCAUAUUUUAGGAAACAUGAUUAGAGUGCGAUUUAAUUAACUUUUAUGGCAUUCUUUUUUUAGUUAUGAUUUUUGAAACCCUGUAUACAGGGAAUUAUGGAGAUUUAAUAAAACAACUUGAUUAUAUGAAAUAAAUUGAUUUUUUCUCCCUAAUUUCUAUCUUCUCCUCUUCCCCUCUUCUUCUCUUUUUCCCCCUCCUUUCUCUUCUUCCCUCUCCUUUUCCCUUCUCCUACACUUCUCCCAUAGUAACCAGCGUCACUAAGUGGACAUGUCCAAAGCCAACUUUGUUAUGAAAAGAGCAUGUACCAGAACUCAUGAAAAUACACAUCAGCAAAGAGACAAUCUUUGUGUUCAUCAAAAUUUCAGCAGUUGAUUUAGAAGAUAGCAGCAUGUGCUACCAGCAGAAAAUAUAGUUAUUAUGUCCAGAGAUGUUGAACUCAAAAAAUUGCCAUAAAGUAGAAUCCCAGGGGCAAACAAAAGAUUUCCUUGUAGUUGAUUCUCCAAAACAAUUCACAACAACUAUAAUAGAGCGAACCCUCUAGACAGUAUAAAUUACCUACCAGUCAAGAAGUCUUUCAUCUCCAACCCCUCCCGGGUUAUGAACUAGUUGCAGGGUAUAAGUCAUUCAUACAAUUUUUCAUUUCAAAAGUCUCAAAACAGAGCAAAAUUAGGAAAUAUAGGCAAUAAACGGCUAUAGUCUGUGUAUAUAUGGAGAUGAAGAAAGGAAAAUGUCAUCUUGUCCCAUGUCAUGUGGAGAAAAUAAUUUUGCAUCAGCAGUGAUCAAGAAUAUGGUUUUUCCCACUACUUUUUAUUCCUCUAUAAAUCAAAAACAUCGAUAAACAUGAUUCAUGUAAGCAUUCAGAAUUUAAAAAAUAGUUUUCCUACGGUGUAUAAUGUAGUUGAACAAAAAAAACAAAAUAUGUAUAAUUCAUCCAGAAAUUAGGAGUUACAACAAGAACUGUUGGUCACUUAUCAAAUACAUCUAUCUAUCUUUCUCUUCUUCAUCGUUUCUGUUCUUUCCACUUCCCAUUAGCAUGUUCAUGUAGUAUUUGAAAGGAAAUUUCUAAUUUUAUUCAGCAUCUCAUGAGAAAUUCAUUUUAACAAAAUAAAUAAAUAAAUAAAAUAAAUAAAUAAACAAAUAAAAAAUAACAUUGACAGAAUUCAAGGACACAUAUUCGUGAACUGUGGUUAAUGAUAGCAACAAUAAUGCACAUAUAAGAUUUCAUUCAAUCAAUCAAGAUCCGAUAGAUAUAUAUAUAUAUUACAAAGCUAGCCUGCAUAUCAUGUUGAGUCCUGUGUCUGCUAAUGCUUGUGAACUCUGCGAUGUACGACUACUAGUUGUAAGCAACUCCUGGUCUGCAACAACAAUUUGACCUAUGAGCAAGACAAGGCUUUCCGUGUAAUUAUCAAGUCAAUAUUGUAUAUAUUUUUAUUUUUUUUAUGACAGUUGAUGUCUGGACCAGUUUACGCGCACUCGACUAAUUCCAUAGCUCACCUCAGUGGUCCUAUUCGGACUCGAACUUAUGACCAUCGGCGAGUAAACCAAUGUCUGACCACUGAUUUACCCCUCAAGGUUCAAUAUUGUAUAACUUACUCCAAGACUUGAUAAUUCCAUACUCUUUCAUCAACCAAACGCAGCAAGACUCACUGCCAGUGGCGAAUCCAGCAUCAACAUUCAGUUAGGGCGGAGGUUGAAUUUGACCAUUGAUCAUCGACGAUUGUAAAAGCCUAAUCCGAUCGGCGGCCAAUCGUUUAUUAAAAUUAGAUUAAAUAAUAUUAAAAAUUAUUCAAUAUAUAUGUAAAUGCACUAAACUCCAGAAAAUAUAUACAUAUGAAAAUAUAGUUCAAUAUAACCCAAAAUGCUAAAAAAAUAUACAUUACAAAUUUACUCUGAAAUUGCAAGCUUAGAUAACUGAAUUCUACGAGGUCGCAUAUUUUGAAAACGUUGCAAUAUUGUCUUAUUCUCAAGUUUCAUAAAAAGAUCUCUCUCCAUGUAUGCUACCAAAUUGUCAUUCAACAAUUCAUCUCCCAUUUUGUUGCGCAGAUCAUUCUUGAUUAGAUUCAUAGCAGAGAAUACCCUUUCAACACUUGCAGUUGCCACAGGUAAUAUCAAAAGCAAUGUGAUCAUCCUAUAAACCAAUGGAAAAUAACAAGAACUUCCAGUUUCAACCAACUUCUAAGCUACACAAGAUAUGCUUUUGAGGUUGAAGAAAGCUUCAUCCAUUCUCACGAGCAUAAGAAAUUUGUCAAGUUGAGGUCUAAGUAAUAAAAGCUUUUCACUAUUGAAAUCCAUAGGAUAUAACUGAGCAAGUCGUACCAAUUUACAUACAUCAAAAGCUGCAAAUGAAUCUCUUGGACUUAAACAUGAAAUGCAAGAAAGUAGUUGUUUCUGAAAAACGAUCAUUCAAUUCUUGCAAGAUUGAAUCUAUCACAUAACAAAACAAAUUAACAUAAAAACAAUGAUAAUAAGUCACCUAGUGACUUGCACGCCUAGGUCGACCUGUCAAUACUACAAUAUCAUCCACAUUGGACACUGAAAUAUGUCUAUCAACACAAAACUGAAUUACCUUACUCAACAAAGUAUCCCGACCAUUGUCUCUCAUGCUCUGCAAUGCGUACUUACACAACUUCAAUAAUCUCAUAGCAUUUUGAAUAUCCUUAUCCUUUUUCUGUAAGGCUUGUGAAAGGUCGUCUGUAAUUGAAAGAAUUUCAAAAAUAAAAUGGAGACUGAACACAAAUUGAAAAUCUUGCAUAGUGUCCAUCUGUCUUAUGGCCAUUGAUUUUUGCUGUAAACUUAUGCCGUCUUCUGAUAUAUUCUCAAGAACAUCUAUGAUCGCAUUAAACAUACUAAUAAAGCGAGUAACUGUUUUUAGAUGUGACCCCCAUUUAGUAUCACCUGGGCGUGCCAAACUCAUUUCUUGAAACUCACCAGUUUGACCAGAAAGUUCCUCAAUAUUAAGCCUCUCUAGAAUUACAACAUGAUAACUUGUUGGAAGAGCAUCUACACGUUUACAUGAUGCACCAACCAAAUUCACAAUAAUAGCAAGCAUGUUAAAUAAAUCACUAAGCAUAAAAUUCCUAUGUGCCACAGAAACAACUGUCAACUGAAGCUGGUGAGCAAAUCAAUGAAUAUACAUAGCACAUGGGUUCUCUUUUAAAAUUAAAGCUUUUAAGCCAUUGAACUCACCUGACAUAUUGCUUGCUCCAUCAUAACCUUGACCUCUCAGACUAGAUUUGCUCAACCAAUUUGUAGAAAACAUUGCAUCAAUGGCAUCCUUGAGUGAUUGGGCACAAGUAUCAACGAUGUGGCAAAUGCCCAACAAACGCUCCUUCACUUGCCCACUUUUGUCAACAAACCUCAAAACAACUGCCAUUUGUUCUUUUAUAGAAUUAUCACGAGACUCGUCAACCAAAAUUGAAAACAAGUAAUCGCCCAUCUCAUUGAUCAUAAACCUUGUCGUCUCUACGGCACAACAAUUAACUAAAUCCUUAUGGAUACUUGGUGAAGUCAUUUGGUCAUUUCCAGGAGCAUUACUAAAUAGUACUUCAUUAAUUUUCUUACGACGAGCUGCAUACCAAUUUAGUAGCUCAGUCAGAUUUCCUUUAUUAAGAGACUCUUUCGAUUCAUCAUGAUCACGAGAUGACAAUCCUUGCAUCAAGAGGAAUCUAGUACAGUCUAGCACUGCAGUCAACUUUGUCCUAUAAUUUUUUUGCUGACUACUACGUUGGCUAGAAAUAACAUGGGAGAUACUUUGCUUUUGAUUCAUCAAAUUGGUACACUUUGCAAAAGCUUGAUUAUGAGCACUAUCAAUGAGCCCGACAUGAUCUUUCAAUGUACUUUUGUGCUUCCAAUCCCUAAAGCCAGUCUUAGUGAAUAUAUGUCCACCCCUUGACCCCCUCUAUUUAGUUUGAAUAAGUAGUAAUGCAAACAAUAAGCCGCAUCAUUUUCUAUACUGUACUCGAACCAAUAAAAUUCAAAAAACCACUCUCUUCGAAAACACCUGUUAUCAUUUCCUAUCCGUCUUCUUGGAAAGUCAUGUCCAUGUGGUUGACAAGGACCUUUUUGCAAAUAUGCCGUCCUAACAUCAUCUUUGAUAUUAGGAUCAUAUGAUUCGAUAUAAGAUCAUCCACAUUGAAUUGAGCCGGAGACUUCUUUGUGCUAUUUAACAACUCGAGUGCUCGGCUAGAAGCAGUGGCGGGACUAGAAGCACAACUAAAACUAGGAGAACUAGGUAUAGACUUUUGUUUCGGUUGAAAAAAUCGUUCCAUAAUCUACAAAAUGCCUCAAUUUAAUUUUCAAUUACAAUUGAUUAAAAAAUCAACAAUUCAACAAAAAAAAUCCCCAAGAGUUAGAUAGCAACGUAUUAGAAAAAUCAAACCCUAAAAAAUUAGUCAAAGCAGCAAAGUUGCCUAAACAAUCAUCUAGGUAGUAAAUCACCGAUUUCAUUAGAUCUUCAGAAUACACUUUCCUUGACAUAAUUGAUAUCAGUUAAUAGUUAUGAAUAAUCAAAGCUUUGCCACAAAACCUUAUCCCUAGAACCAUUUAUAUUCAACAGAGUGGCUAUUAUAUACUUAUAUUCAUACCAUUUUCAUUUGCAUACAGCUCAAUAGACAAUACAAUAUGAUCUCCUCCACUGCUGACUUAUGACUUAUGAGAUAAAUUUUGAAAAUACAAAAAAGUGUAAACCACUAAACCUUCAAUAGCCAUUCAAAAUGCAGGCAGCCAUCAAGAAAACAAACAAUAAAGUAUCUUAUCAAAUGAGAACCCCAGAAGAGAAAGUAACAUCCGGACUGAAUUGACAGCAAACCUACGUACCUCCAAUUUAACAUUGCAAUUUAUUCCCAUUUUUCAUUCGAUAUUUUGUUAAGACCCAACUCCUAGACACCAAUUGUGUGUUUGGUUAGGUGGACUACACAAUAUUUAGA
This 6254-nucleotide long non-coding RNA is filed under the name Olea europaea subsp. europaea. Lineage: Eukaryota; Viridiplantae; Streptophyta; Magnoliopsida; Lamiales; Oleaceae. The record is from RNAcentral.